GGGGUUGUGGCUCAGUGGUAGAGCACUUGCCUAGCAAGUGUGAGGCCCUGGGUUCGAUCCUCAGGACCACA
This 71-nucleotide transfer RNA is filed under the name Ictidomys tridecemlineatus (thirteen-lined ground squirrel). RNAcentral's name for it is "Spermophilus tridecemlineatus (thirteen-lined ground squirrel) tRNA". It matches the Rfam family "tRNA". From Rfam's summary of the family: Transfer RNA (tRNA) molecules are approximately 80 nucleotides in length. Their secondary structure includes four short double-helical elements and three loops (D, anti-codon, and T loops). The record is from Rfam by way of RNAcentral. Lineage: Eukaryota; Metazoa; Chordata; Mammalia; Rodentia; Sciuridae.